GACGAACCGUGCGAACGUUAUUCGGAAUCACUGGGCUUAAAGCGCGUGUAGGCGGGACGGCGCGUCGGUCGCUGAAAGCCCCUGGCUCAACCGGGGAAGCGGCGCCGAUACGGCCGACCUGGAGGGACGUAGGGGGGCCUGGAACUUCCGGUGGAGCGGUGAAAUGCGUUGAGAUCGGAAGGAACGCCCGUGGCGAAAGCGAGGCCCUGGACGCUGCUGACGCUGAGACGCGAAAAGCCAGGGGAGCGAACGGG
RNAcentral lists this ribosomal RNA (254 nucleotides) under uncultured bacterium. RNAcentral describes it as "partial 16S ribosomal RNA". It matches the Rfam family "Bacterial small subunit ribosomal RNA", at positions 524 to 776 of the family's 1533-position model. The record is from RNAcentral.